RNAcentral lists this long non-coding RNA (280 nucleotides) under Pan troglodytes (chimpanzee). RNAcentral describes it as "long non-coding RNA NONPTRT010419". Lineage: Eukaryota; Metazoa; Chordata; Mammalia; Primates; Hominidae. The record is from RNAcentral.
CUCAUGGAGGGUGGGUGGGGAGGCAAGCAGUGGGGAGGCUGAGAGCUUAGAGGGGAGUAUGGAGCAGAGGGUGGGGGGCAGAGGGAGCAGGACAGGGGACCAAGAACAGUCCAAGGGCCACCUCAGAUCCCCAAAUAUGAAUCAGAGGGGAGUCCACAGCCCCAGGCCAGGCCCCUGUUCUCAGUUCUGUCCCCUUUCCUGUGGCCUCAGAAACACGAUCCUGGCAGCCACUGAUUUCUCGUGCGCUCUCUCCACUCUGGUCUGCAAGUACAAGGGCCUC